CUCCUCACCGAACACAAAACAGAAAUCAAAUCUUCUUCUUCUUCUUCUUCUUUUUCUCAAACUCUUUCUCUCAUAAUCCCAAUGGCUUCAAGAAGCUUCCUCGUUCUUCUUCUAGUGCUCGCUUUGGUAGCCUCUUCCGCUACGGCAGGGCAUCAUCAUUCACACCCCAAGUCCCCGGCCCCUGCACCUUCUCCAGCCGUUGUGGAAGCUCCGUCGGUUCCGCCGUCUUCGAUUUCCGGGACUCCUGUUGAGGCGCCUGCUCCGGCAGCAAACGGCGCUGGUCUUGUUUCUGGAUCAAUGGCUGUUAGUGUUGGGAUCUUUUUUGCUGCUGCUUUGUUUGUUUAGAUUCUUUUUUCUUGACUAAUAUUGGUUUUUGUUUACGACGAUGGAAUUUAGUUAUUUGUUUUAUCAUAUUUAUUUGAUUUUAUUGGUUUAUAUCACAGUUUGAUUAUGAGUAUCAGAUUUAAUUCUGUGUUUAUUUUGGUUUUGUUCAAUUUAUUUAGUUAUAUAGAUUGCUCAAACUUUCCAUUUAACUGCUGAGGAUGAAAGUACACCAAAAUGGAAAAGAAGUAUCAUUAAAAUUAUAAUCCCAUCCCUCAAUAGCAAGUUUUCUGCUUAGUUUUGUAGCAUCAAUCCAUCCACAUUUAUGUGAAUGCUUAUCAUUGAUUGAUAUUCUAUCAAGUCUAAUUAAGUUGGCACGUUUUUUGCUAAAUCCAAAUUCAAGCAACUAAAAAGCAUACCAUUUUGGCCACAACAUCGAAGUACACUUAGGAUUAUAAGUGUUGACGGUUUUUGAUUAGGUUUGAAGGUGAAAUCUCGAGUGAAAAAGGGGAUAUGAAACUGACCUUUUUGGCCUAAAUCCAUGAAACCCAUCUGAGAAAUGGAUCAUUUGCUGAAGAGACAUUUGGUUGCGGUUUGGUGAUAUUUGAUUCGGUUUUCAAAUAUAUUACAUAAAUUUUUUCAUAAUACUCGUACACAAAUUAAUUAGUCUAUGGAAUAAGUUUUGGUGAAAUUCAUUUCAUAAAACUCAUAUUACAUAAUAAAUAAGAAAAUAGUUCAUUGAUUAUGUAACAAAGUAUUUAUGUAUGAACACUACACAACAGCUGAUCAAAUUAUUCCAACAAUUAUUUGAAAUUGAUUGUAGUAUUUUACAUAUUCCUUUUUUGCAUUUAGUCCAAAUAAAAAGGUAAGCAAUAAUAUAGUAUGAGUUGGAUUCUUUUGGAUAUAUAUUUAUGUAAUUUUGUUUGUGUAGGUGGACUUCUCAUAUCAUAUAUAUAUAUAAUUCAUUUUUGUAUCAUAUAACGAACUUAGAGGAUGAAUGUCCAUUUUGUUGUACAUACGAUAAUAUAAAUCUUGACAUUAUUUUUUUGUAAUUGAAACAUUUUUAACUGUUUAACUUAAAAGAUAAACCAUUUAAAAAAAAACUUAAUUUUUGAUAAUUACUCAAAAUUACGCCAAACAUACAAUAUAAAAUAGGAGUUUUUGAAUUUCUUUAUUCUCUAAUCAACUUAAUUGAUCCAAAUGGCCCUAAGUUGUUUUAAUAUUUAAUAUUUAAUAUUAAUAUAAAGUUUUUUUAUAAAAAAAAUUUGAACAAAACCAUUAAAACAAUUAUAGGUUCAUUUUAUUGAAACCAUUGGCAGCCAAAUUUGCUGUAAAAUGGAAAGCCCAAAUUCCUUAAAUAUAAACCAAUGUUGUAUAUAUGCAAAGAAAUUUUGGACAUAUAACAAUCACAUUAAUUACAAUUCAAAAAAGGGAAAAUACAACCACAUUUCAGAAGAAAAAAAAAAUCUAAAAUCAUAAAGUUAGAUUUGUAAAUAAAUCUUUGUAGAUAUUCAACCACUAAAUUUAUGCUUUUAGAAUUUGUCCCCCAAGAUUUCUUUCUAUAUAUGUACACAUGAUUUUGUUCAAUAUGUAAUUGAAAAGAUUCAAUUAUAGAAAGAUUUUCUAAUAAACCUUAGAAAUUUUGCUUUAUAUAUAUAUAUAUAUAAUUUAAAAUUAUUUGGAGGUAGAAAUUCAAAUAAUUAAGAGAGGUUAGAUUUGAAAAUGUGAUUGAAAAUACAUAACUAAAUUGAAUAAUUUGAUUUGGGAUUAAUUUUUUAUAUAGAUGAUUUUCAGCAACCAAAAAUAAAUAUGAAGUGAAUGAAAUUAAAAUAGAGAAAGUAAUUGAUGGAUAAAAUGAACAAAAUAAUGUAAAAUGAAGAACAAUUUGAAUUCAAACAUUGAUAACAUAUUUAAACAAAA
Molecule: long non-coding RNA, 2241 nt
Filed under: Cucumis sativus (cucumber)
Lineage: Eukaryota; Viridiplantae; Streptophyta; Magnoliopsida; Cucurbitales; Cucurbitaceae
Description: long non-coding RNA (CSAT_LNC002656)
Source: RNAcentral